This 1174-nucleotide ribosomal RNA is filed under the name gut metagenome. Its description in RNAcentral is "bacterial LSU rRNA". It matches the Rfam family "Bacterial large subunit ribosomal RNA", at positions 1382 to 2632 of the family's 2925-position model. The record is from RNAcentral.
AGCCGGGAGCUAAGGCGAGGCCGAAAGGCGUAGUCGAUGCACAUACGGUUGAAAUUCCGUAGCCACCUUAUCGAUAAAAGCUGACACAUAGAGAUAGCCGAACCCGGGCGUUGGUUGACCCGGGCGAAAGGGACCGAACUACAGUAGGGAAGUCGGCGAUGCUCUGUGGCGAGAAAAGGCGAAGAUAGGGUGCCCGUACCGCAAACCGACACAGGUAGAUGAGGAGAGAAUCCUAAGGCCAACGGGAGAAAGGUUGUUAAGGAACUCGGCAAAAUUGCCCCGUAACUUCGGGAGAAGGGGCGCCCUCGAAAGAGGGCCGCAGUGAAAAGGCCCAAGCGACUGUUUACCAAAAACACAGGUCUCUGCUAAAUCGAAAGAUGACGUAUAGGGGCUGACGCCUGCCCGGUGCUGGAAGGUUAAGAGGAGGACUUAGCGCAAGCGAAGGUCUGAAUUUAAGCCCCAGUAAACGGCGGCCGUAACUAUAACGGUCCUAAGGUAGCGAAAUUCCUUGUCAGGUAAGUUCUGACCCGCACGAAUGGCGUAACGAUUUGGGCACUGUCUCAACAGCCUACCCGGCGAAAUUGUAGUACCGGUGAAGAUGCCGGUUACCCGCAACUAGACGGAAAGACCCCAUGGAGCUUUACUGCAGCUUAAUACUGAGAUUCGGUAAUUCAUGUACAGGAUAGGUGGGAGACUUAGAAACAGGGUCGUCAGGCACUGCGGAGUCACCCUUGGGAUACCACCCUUGGAUUGCUGGGUUUCUAACCUGCGGCCAUGAAUCUGGUCGGGGGACACUGUUAGGCGGGCAGUUUGACUGGGGCGGUCGCCUCCUAAAAAGUAGCGGAGGCGCUCAAAGCUUGGCUCAGCAUGGAUGGAAAUCAUGCAAUGAGUGUAAACGUAUAAGCCAAGUUGACUGCGAGACCGACGGGUCGAGCAGGUACGAAAGUAGGAGUUAGUGAUCCGGUGGUAUGUGAGUGGAAAUGCCAUCGCUCAACGGAUAAAAGCUACCCUGGGGAUAACAGGCUGAUCUCCCCCAAGCGUCCACAGCGACGGGGAGGUUUGGCACCUCGAUGUCGGCUCGUCGCAUCCUGGGGCUGUAUUCGGUCCCAAGGGUUUGGCUGUUCGCCAAUUAAAGCGGCACGCGAGCUGGGUUCAGAACGUCGUGAGACAGUUC